UUUCUGGUGGUCCAGUGGUUAAGAUUCCUUGCUCCCAAUGCAGGGGGCCCAGGUUCAAUCCCUGGUCAGGGAA
Molecule: transfer RNA, 73 nt
Filed under: Bos taurus (domestic cattle)
Lineage: Eukaryota; Metazoa; Chordata; Mammalia; Artiodactyla; Bovidae
Also listed under: 1 other name
Rfam family: tRNA
About the family: Transfer RNA (tRNA) molecules are approximately 80 nucleotides in length. Their secondary structure includes four short double-helical elements and three loops (D, anti-codon, and T loops).
Source: Rfam by way of RNAcentral